UACACUCCUGCGGGAGGCAGCAGUGGGGAAUAUUGGACAAUGGGCGCAAGCCUGAUCCAGCCAUGCCGCGUGAGUGAUGAAGGCCCUAGGGUUGUAAAGCUCUUUCACCGGUGAAGAUAAUGACGGUAACCGGAGAAGAAGCCCCGGCUAACUUCGUGCCAGCAGCCGCGGUAAUACGAAGGGGGCUAGCGUUGUUCGGAUUUACUGGGCGUAAAGCGCACGUAGGCGGACUAUUAAGUCAGGGGUGAAAUCCCGGGGCUCAACCCCGGAACUGCCUUUGAUACUGGUAGUCUUGAGUUCGAGAGAGGUGAGUGGAAUUCCGAGUGUAGAGGUGAAAUUCGUAGAUAUUCGGAGGAACACCAGUGGCGAAGGCGGCUCACUGGCUCGAUACUGACGCUGAGGUGCGAAAGCGUGGGGAGCAAACAGGAUUAGAAACCCUGGUAGUCCCAUG
This 451-nucleotide ribosomal RNA is filed under the name uncultured organism. RNAcentral's name for it is "partial 16S ribosomal RNA". It matches the Rfam family "Bacterial small subunit ribosomal RNA", at positions 332 to 799 of the family's 1533-position model. The record is from RNAcentral.